CCUUCCGCGUGGCCGGGGCGGGCCUGGCUCAUGUCCCGGGUUGCGAGCGAGGUGCGAUCGGCUCGCGGUCGAGCCGUGGGCGGGGGGGC
RNAcentral lists this transfer RNA (89 nucleotides) under Sphaerisporangium siamense. RNAcentral's name for it is "tRNA-Asp". The record is from RNAcentral. Lineage: Bacteria; Bacillati; Actinomycetota; Actinomycetes; Streptosporangiales; Streptosporangiaceae.